Molecule: ribosomal RNA, 566 nt
Filed under: uncultured archaeon
Lineage: Archaea
Description: bacterial SSU rRNA
Rfam family: Archaeal small subunit ribosomal RNA
Source: RNAcentral
CGGGGUGCAGCAGGCGCGAAAACUUUACAAUGCUGGCAACAGCGAUAAGGGGACCUCGAGUGCCAGGAUACAAUCUUGGCUGUCGCGAUGCCUAAAAAGCAUUGCAUAGCAAGGGCCGGGCAAGACCGGUGCCAGCCGCCGCGGUAACACCGGCGGCUCGAGUGGUAACCGCUAUUAUUGGGUCUAAAGGGUCUGUAGCCGGCCGGAUAAGUCUUUUGGGAAAUCCAGCUGCUCAACAGUUGGGUUUUCCGAAGAUACUGUUUGGCUCGAGACUGGGAGAGGUGAGAGGUAAUUCAGGGGUAGGGGUGAAAUCUUGUAAUCCUUGAAGGACCACCAGUGGGGAAGGCGUCUCACCAGAACGGAUCUGACGGCAAGGGACGAAAGCUAGGGGCACGAACCGGAUUAGAUACCCGGGUAGUCCUAGCCGUUAACGAUACUCGCUAGGUGCCAGCCACGGUGCGACCGUGGUUGGUGCCGUAGGGAAGCCGUGAAGCGAGCCGCUUGGGAAGUACGGCCGCAAGGCUGAAACUUAAAGGAAUCGGCGGGGGAGCACAAGGGCGAUUCGC